RNAcentral lists this long non-coding RNA (6487 nucleotides) under Sus scrofa (pig). Its description in RNAcentral is "lncRNA (ENSSSCG00060026995.1)". The record is from RNAcentral. Lineage: Eukaryota; Metazoa; Chordata; Mammalia; Artiodactyla; Suidae.
AAGUCAUGAAUAAGAGACUCUGAAGCUUGCACGUCAGAUCUUCCUCAAUUAAUCCACCAUUAGCAUGUUUGGGAACCACUACUGGAUGGUUAACAGCAGCUUUUGUAACUGUACGCCGACCAUACCCAAUUAUGCUCUGCUAAAAAUGAACUCUUUGCAGACCAACCCUCUCGGGUUGUCAGUGUUUUCCGUUUUCCUAUUUUAACGUUUGUGUAUAGUGGCAGGCGACAGAUGGUGUAGAUCAGAUCGAUUUGAUUGCAUUAGAUGAUUUUUUUUUUCCCUUCCCCACUCCUUUCUGGAGGCUCGCAUCAGCUGAAGGCUAUCGCCUGGGACUCCUCGGAAGCGUGAGCAAGCCGCCACCACGCGAAGGCACGGGGGCACAGCCAGCGCAAGGCACCGAGGUCCCUUCCCAGGGCUUGUUAACGCUGUAAUCCAGCACUCCGAAGCAAGCAGCUCCCACUGCCCAGAGCCUACCUCACUGCUCAUCAGAUGACUCUCUGGCUUCUACACACAGUUGGAGUUCCGCUUGAAACCUGGAUUUAGAGGGGCUCUCUCGCUGCCAUGACACUCAAUCAAAACACCUAGAGUGAGCUGGCUGAGACCAGAGGGGGUACCAAGCAGAGCAAGGACAGAGGAAGGCACUAGGAGAGCGCCAGAAUUGGAAAGAGAGCAGCCAUUUGGAUUUGGGCAGGAAGCAGCCGAGCACAGCUUUGGAUCCUUCUUUAGGGAAAUCGAGUUAUGGAUUUAUGGUCCCGGUCAAGCUCAGCCCAACCCCAGGCAGGGGCGGGCUCAGCAGCAAGAGUUCUGGUGGCGGCGGCGGCAGUAGCAGCGGCAGCGGUAGCAGCGGCAGCAGCAGCUUGGUCCUCUGACUCUCUUCGGUGACGGGUUUUGGUUGGUUGUUUCAAAUAUUAAUGGACAGAAAACCUAACGGAUCUGUCUAGCAGAGGAGGGGUCCUAGCGAAGAGCAGGCAACAACACACUGGCCCGCUCCACCACCCCCGGUCACUCCUGGGGACAACCGGAUGUGGCAGGAUGGAGAUGCCCAAGAUGGUGCUGGAAAAGAUUUGCCAUCGUGGAAGGCGCGGGCCAAGGAGGCUCCAGCUCCCAGCUCUUGGCGGACUUAAGACCACGCAGCUCUGCAACUCCUCUUUCCCUCCAGGGAGGCGCCAGGGCCGGCCCGAUGGCGGCCCUUCAAAGGUGGAAGGAGAAACAGCGAUGGACCAGAACCGACCAAGCACCUCGAAGGUUCCACGAGGCCCGGCAAGAACUUCCUAGGACGCCAAGACCUAAGUUUCCUCCCUGCGUGGUGGCCGUUGAUUGUGCAGGAACUGCGAAGGCUCAAUUCCCGAGAAGUCGAAGCUGCAGGAGGGGGGCGGAGAUGAGAAUCCGGCGACAGUUUCCUUCGCAGCUCUCCCAAACCAGCUCUAAACUAAGUGACGCCCCAGACACCUCUUCCCUUCGGAGGACCGGCCUUUCCCAGACGCGACGUGCUUGUUCCCCGCUGGGUUCUUGCCCACGAGAGCAGAUCUGAGCCCUGGAGACGUUGGGAGCAGAGUGUCUCAAAGGAAGCAGGCUCGAUUUCACACUUUCCCGUCUAGAGUCUGGCUUUUCUUUCAAUGCUUUGGAUUCCCAGUGAAGGGUACACGCCUCCCCUGUCCCUGUUGUACCACACCACGUCUGAUCCCACCAUUACUUCCAGGGUAUCUGCGCUCACAGUUUUUGUGCUCAGGGAAGGUGGUUGUUUGCAAAGAAAAUGAGUGGGGGCUCUUCUCAGAAGCUCCCAGGGCUGGCAAGCCCAUUUUAAGAAUGAGUCUAAAUAAAAAAGAAAACACAGAUACUAUCUUUGCACUUGGCAUUCUAUCUCUAGUAAGAGAAUUGGUAACUAAGGUUCUUUCCUUCAUUGUUCCAUGAAUUACCCACUUUCUCUAGGGAUCCACCAGUUGGUGAUUAAGGGCUUUUAAAUAUUGUGCUUGUUAUGUAUUAGCAAAAUGCAACAUAUCUGCUAGUGUCCUUGUUUCAUUAGGAAAGUAGAGAGCAGCUACCUGAUGUAGUAACUGGGUGGUCUUUGGAAAGUUGGCCUCAUGCUGCUUGGCGAAAUAAGUGUAUGAGAUUUGAAGGGCAGAAAGGAAGCUGAGAAGCUAGUGACAGAGUUUGCAAGAAAUGAACGGUGUAAUACUCUGGCAUGUGUUGAAGCAAAGACGAAGAACUUUAGAAAAAUAAGGUAUUUCAUUCAGUUCUUUGCCACUGGUACUUUAGCUCAUGGUAGCAAUUUCUUCAUAAAUGGAUAAUCAUUUUUAGGGUAGAUUAAUUUAAAUGAUAGUAGUGAAAUCUAGAGGAAACUGUACUCAUCUCAUGGUCAACAAAGUAUUUUAUUUUCUUGGUUCAAGGGGUUUAAAUACAUAUUAUUUUCUUUCAUUUGCAGCAUUAUUUCUUAUAAAAGUUUCCAUUAGGUGUCAGUCUGACUGAGCUGGUAUCUAGUUAAAUUUAGAAAGAAAAAAAACCCAAAAAAAAAACAAAACAAGUUUUACCAUACUUGGCCUUUUUAGACAAGGGGGAGGAAAAUCUCCAAAACUUUCUUAAAUUGAAAUUGCUGUAGCUAAUUGCUAUUGUUAUAAGGCAGCUUUUUUUAUUCCCUCAGAAAACAGAAUUUUAAAUUACAUCACCACUAACCAGUUAUCACUUUUGUCCUGUUAGUGUCCAUAAACAAGAUUAAAGCACACACAGGUUGUGUGUUUUUCAUGCUGGCUCUAAGUAAUUCAAAGUACUCACAAUAGUGGAAUUGUUUUUUAACUGAUGUCCAAAUACUUAGAAGGGUAUGAAUCCUUUUUUUAAAAUUUGGUUUGCUUUACAAAGGUGAUAGAAUUUCCACCUGAGAAAAGCAUGUGGAUAUGGCUUAGACUGUUUAUUUGAGUUAUCCUUAGGGCACAAUGGAAGGGAGGGAGGAAACUUAUGAAAAUUGCUUCUAUCUAUUAUUUUUCCCUUAGUUAAGUCUGCCUAAGUACUCAAAUUUUUAUGAACACAAUUUAUGGCUUUUGGUAGAAGAUUUUAGUUUUUUCAUUGAAAUUUAUAUGUCUGUGAACAUUCAGAUACAUACUGUGAUAUUCAUUAAUAGGUAAGAAAUAUCAACUUGGUUGAUUUACUACUGAGUCUCAGGUAAGGAGCGUGAUAGAAACUGCUUUUUAUAGAGGUUUCUGAUUUUUCGUUUGUGAAUCACAUUCUGAUAUUUUUGCUUCCAUAGAAUGCAGGGGAUGGUGGUAUUCAGGGUUAAAGAUCCAGUGAGGGUUCAGAUAACCUCUAUGUGAAUACAAAAAGGAUAGAUAUAUUUUACAGACAAUUCUGAUCAAGUACAUUUUAACGUAAAUAAUCAGAUCCUGGAGCCAGGCUCUCUCCCCAGGUCCACUGCUAGCCCUAGAACGAUGUGGUUCUUGAUGUCACAGCAGUGCUGAUCUAGAACCAGAACAGAACUGUCAGUGAAUGUCCAGGCAAAGGAAGAGAAAUGAUGAGGUAGCAUUUUGAUGGAUGGAAAAUUCCAUGUCAUAUUACCAUUUUUAAUUAUAUUUGAUAUAAGUACCAGUAAAUUUUCACAUCUAAAAUAUACUUUUUUUUUUUUUUUUUUUUUUUUUUUGUCCAGGUGAGGUGUAGAUGAUGGGUAUAUUGGGGAAUAUUUUGUGCUUUUAUAUAGAACUGAGGAGAAGAACUAGAGACACAGAAGACAAUAUAUGAUCACAAUUAUUCACCAACAUUACAAUACUGUACAGUUUCAGCUGUCAUUGAAUCACAGAAAUGACAGGAUAAUGUUCUUACUCUUAGAGAGUAGUGUAAUCUGCAUGCUGUACUUACUAUUUAAAAGUAAAUUUAUUUGCUGAUAAAUGUUUUCAAUAAAAAGAAAACAUAUUAACAGAAUACUUAAAGACUUUUAUUGUUAUAUUUAGUUAUUACAUUUAGAUAUUUGUAGUUAUAAACCCAUAAACAUUAAGGCUAAAUAUAUUUUAAAGAGUCUUGUAGUACAAUUUGUUUUUCAAAGUGUUUUGAGAUGUUCUCCUCUGGCACCUAUACUUUGAAUCGUGCCUUAGAAUUCUUACGUUUCAAUUUACAAAACAUUUUGUGUAAGUAUAUAUUAUAAGCAAUUUAAUUGUGAAGACAUUGCAACUCAUCCAAAAAAAUAUAGAGAGAGGUUAUAAAAUUUUAACUUUCUUGAAAUAGGUUUAGUACCUGGUGAUUACUUGUUUACUGAGUACAGCUUGAAGCAGAACUACUGUGGCCCUAUUAUUUGUUUGUUUGUUUGUUUGGUUUUUUUUGGUCCAGAUUACAGAUGUGACCACCUAAAUAUUUUGAGUUCUGAGUUCUGUUCUGUGCUGGUUAAUAAUGAGAGCUAUGUAACACAAUCUGAUCUCCAAAAUCAAUUAAAAGUGUUACAUUGUCUAUACAAGUGUAAAAAUAACACUUCAUUUGCUCUAUUUGUGGAAAUACCCAUUGAGAUUCAGCAACAAUCCACAGUGCUGAAAAUUUACACACACGCCACCUAUAGCUGGAACUAAAAGUUAAGAAAAAAAUCGAAGAGUAAACUAUGAACUUUAAAAUAUUCAAAGAAUUUUAAAUAAUGCUUCCUACAUUUAUUUUAUUAGCUUCAAAACAGUACUGAAUCUCAAUUAUAUUUCAAACUAAAGAACACAUAGUGCUGUAGUCUAUUUACUAAUACUAUGUUUCUGGUUAAAAUACAGUUUAUAUAAUAGCAUGUUUUUUUAAGUUGGCAAAUUACAGAUGAUAGUGGCAUAAUUGCAUAAUUUGAAGGUAGUGUCUUUUAAACUCAAAAUGUGUGCUCUGAAGAGACACUUUCUAAAAAAUCAUUUCGGUAAGCAUGAUAUAAUUUAACUGGAAAUUGAUAUUUCUUGCAAUUAAAAAAAUUUAUAUCCAAUACACAAGUAAAAAUUAAUUGUUUGAGGUCUACUUUUAUCUCUGUGCGUAAAUGUGGCCAAUUUUAAGAACUGCUUCAAACGAGUCCAAAGAUAAACUGAAGUUAGUUAGUUAAGAUUGUUUUUGUAUGUCUGUCAUAUGUUCCAUUCAAGAGAAAUGAAUGAAUGAAUGCACAAAUGAAUGAAUGAAUGAAUGCCAUGCCUAAUAUUCUAUCAGAAGCACACAUCCAAAAACACUUUUUCUUUAUAACAGAAACUUAUUAAGAUAAGACUUAAAAAAUAUUCUAGGUUAUUUUAUGCAUAACUGCCAUGGAAUUAAAUGUAAGAAUGGUUACUUUAUGGGUCCACUUUCAUGCAUAAUUUGUUUUCAUAACUAUUAUUUUAAAGAGGCUUUCACAGUGUUUACAAAGACAAAGGAAAUUAGAGAAUCAAGGCAGUUACAUGGGCAAAGCUUGAAUCUCAUUUUUUUCCUCAGUUAUGUGAACUUAAGGGAAAAGAGUGUAUCCUGUGGUGGAAAAUACUUUGGAAAAAGGCUAGAAAAUUUGCUUUUGAGUACAGAUUUGGGAACUGUGACUAGCUGCAAGGCUUGCCUGGCCCUCAGUGUCUCAUCCACAGCAAGGAGGGCUGCAUUUAGAUUCUUUCAAGGCCAUUCUACUUCUUAUGAAUUCCAUUUCCAACAUGCACCCCCCCUUUUUGGCCUGAAUUCUACUCUUCAUUUUAUUUGUAGAUGGUGGGCAAAUCGAUACCACAGCUAAGAAGGCAGGUUUUAAAAAGACAUAAAUCUUUCAGAGGUAUUCACCCAUGUAUUUUGUCUUGAUACCCAACACGAAAUUUGUCUUUAAGAUUUUAACUUAAAUUUUUAAACCAUGAGCACAUGGAAAUAUUUUUGCCACUUCUUUGCCCUUUGAUUUCUAUAUAGUUUUAGAAAGGCCCUCAAAAGAAUGACUUAUGGAUUCAUCCCAGGGUGUUUUUGUGGGAAUGCAUGUGUAUGUAUGUGUCUCUAUGUAUAAUACACGUGAGGCUCUCAAACAGUGGAUACACCUCAAAAACAUUUCAACCUAAUAAGACCAAAAUACAAACAGCUCUUUUUAAAUCAGUGUAUGUGAUUAUAGUGAAUAAAUAACAAACACUGCAUAUUUUUAAAUGUUUUCUCUGUAUGUAAACAUUUGUGCUAUUAUAUUUAAGUACAAUUUUUAGAGGAAUGAGGAAAUCACUAAUUUUUCAUUCUAUUAAAAAGAAAAAGACUAAUAUUUGUCUAGGAUAUUUAAUUCUAAAAUAGCAUAGCAAGGAUAUCUCCUUUUAACCUACCUUGUCCGGUGCCUGACACAGGAUAGGUGCUUAGAAAUAUUUGUUAAUUUAGUAAAAGCCACUAUAUCCUUUCAGAACAUGUUAAUACAGAAUUUUACAUGUUUUCCAUAGUUAAUGGCACUUUAAAGAAAUGGCUGUUGAACCGCAUAUAAGGCUUAAUUUAAUGUUAAUGUAAACUUUAAUUCUCAAGUUUGUUUAUUAGUGGUGCUGUUAUUCUUUUUAUAUUUAUGUUCAUUUUUAAUGAAAUAUAUUUGAUUUAAAGUAUU